RNAcentral lists this long non-coding RNA (233 nucleotides) under Macaca mulatta (Rhesus monkey). RNAcentral's name for it is "lncRNA (ENSMMUG00000056848.1)". Lineage: Eukaryota; Metazoa; Chordata; Mammalia; Primates; Cercopithecidae. The record is from RNAcentral.
AUGCUGAGAAACUGAAGAAUUCUCUUUUUGUUGUUGUUAUUAACGUUCUUGUUUGUUUGUUCUCUGUUCUAACUGCUUGGUAGAGCAGCAACCUCGGACUUCAUAAUAAGUAGGAUACUUGCUGAGAAAGAUCUGCAUAAGGAAGUGUGCUUUCACCAUCUCCUCCACCAAAGGGAAUUGUAAUUAAGAGCAGAUUGAGGAGCAAAGAAGUAUUAGAGUCAAAACUUGUCCAG